AUGGCUCAGAACGAACGCUGGUGGCAUGUCUAUACAUGCAAGUCGAGCGAGGCAGCAAUGCCGAGCGGCGAACGGGUGAGUAACGCGUAAGCAAUCUGCCCCAUAUCAGGAAAUACCCGUGCCAACGCGCGGUUAAUGUCCAGGAGAGUGGCCCUCUGCAUGGAGGGUUGACUAGAGAUUUAUCGGUAUGGGAUGAGCUUGCGUCCGAUUAGCUAGUUGGCGGGGCAACGGCCCACCAAGGCGACGAUCGGUAGCCGGCCUGAGAGGGUGAUCGGCCACAUUGGGACUGAGAUACGGCCCAGACUCCUACGGGAGGCAGCAGUAGGGAAUAUUGCACGAUGGGGGAAACCCUGAUGCAGCAACGCCACGUGUGGGAAGAAGCAUUUCGGUGUGUAAACCACUGUCAUGAGGGAAUAAGGCCCUUAUUCGUAAGGGAUUGAAUGUACCUUGAGAGGAAGCACCGGCAAACUUCGUGCCAGCAGCCGC
This 486-nucleotide ribosomal RNA is filed under the name uncultured bacterium. RNAcentral describes it as "bacterial SSU rRNA". It matches the Rfam family "Bacterial small subunit ribosomal RNA", at positions 19 to 518 of the family's 1533-position model. The record is from RNAcentral.